CAAUAGCGUAUAUUAAAGUUGUUGCGGUUAAAAAGCUCGUAGUUGGAUCUCGGCAGGUAGGGAGCGGUUCGAUGUUUGUCGCUACUGCUCCAUCUUCCUGUGAAUGUUGUGGCGGAGGUGCUGGGGUGCUCUUAAUCGAGUGUCCCGGUGCGCCGUCAGGUUUACUUUGAAAAAAUUAGAGUGCUCAAAGCAGGCUUUACACGCUCGGAUAUUCGUGCAUGGAAUAAUGGAAUAGGACGUCGUUUCUAUUUUGUUGGUUUUCGGAAAUCGACGUAAUGAUUAAUAGGGACAGUCGGGGGCAUUAGUAUUCAGACGACAGAGGUGAAAUUCUUGGACCGUCUGAAGACUAACUACUGCGAAAGCAUUUGCCAAGAAUGUUUUCAUUAA
This 387-nucleotide ribosomal RNA is filed under the name uncultured eukaryote. RNAcentral's name for it is "partial 18S ribosomal RNA". It matches the Rfam family "Eukaryotic small subunit ribosomal RNA", at positions 592 to 976 of the family's 1831-position model. The record is from RNAcentral.